UGUUAAGUUGUGAUAAAUAGU
This 21-nucleotide non-coding RNA is filed under the name Caenorhabditis elegans. The record is from RNAcentral. Lineage: Eukaryota; Metazoa; Nematoda; Chromadorea; Rhabditida; Rhabditidae.